This 460-nucleotide ribosomal RNA is filed under the name uncultured bacterium. RNAcentral describes it as "partial 16S ribosomal RNA". It matches the Rfam family "Bacterial small subunit ribosomal RNA", at positions 338 to 795 of the family's 1533-position model. The record is from RNAcentral.
CCUACGGGAGGCAGCAGUGAGGAAUAUUGGUCAAUGGCCGGAAGUCUGAACCAGCCAUGCCGCGUGAAGGUCAGUGCCCUAUGGGCGUUAAACUUCUGUUGUGCGGGAGCAAUAAUGGUCACGUGUGGCCAGACGAGAGUACCGUACGAAUAAGCAUCGGCUAACUCCGUGCCAGCAGCCGCGGUAAUACGGGUGAUGCAAGCGUUAUCGGGAUUUAUUGGGUUUAAAGGGUGCGUAGGCUGUGGUGGUAGUCAGCGGUGAAAUGCCCCCGCUCAACGGGGUGAAGUGCCAUUGAUACUGCCUUGCUGGAAUGCGGAUGCCGUUGGAGGAAUGUGUGGUGUAGCGGUGAAAUGCAUAGAUAUCACACAGAACACCGAUUGCGAAGGCAUCUAACGAAUCCGCGAUUGACGCUGAUGCACGAAAGCGUGGGUAUCAAACAGGAUUAGAUACCCGAGUAGUC